CCAAUAGCGUAUAUUAAAGUUGUUGCAGUUAAAAAGCUCGUAGUUGAAUUUCGGAAUCAGUACGUUGGUCGUGCCUUCGGUAUGCACUGGCGUCACUGGUUUCUCCCUUCUGACGAACCGUGAUGUCAUUAAUUUGGUGUUGCGGGGAAUCAGGACUGUUACUUUGAAAAAAUUAGAGUGUUUAAAGCAGGCUCACGCUUGAAUACAUUAGCAUGGAAUAAUGAAAUAGGACGUUUGACCCUAUUUUGUUGGUUUCUAGGAUCGACGUAAUGAUUAAUAGGGAUAGUUGGGGGCAUUAGUAUUCAAUUGUCAGAGGUGAAAUUCUUGGAUUUAUUGAAGACUAACUACUGCGAAAGCAUUUGCCAAGGAUGUUUUCAUUAAUCAAGAACGAAAGUUAGGGGAUCGAAGACGAUCAGAUACCGUCGUAGUCUUAACCAUAAACUAUGCCGACUAGGGAUCGGAUGAUGUUAAUUUUAUAAUGACUCAUUCGGCGCCUUACG
Molecule: ribosomal RNA, 500 nt
Filed under: uncultured Glomeromycotina
Lineage: Eukaryota; Fungi; Glomeromycota
Description: partial small subunit ribosomal RNA
Rfam family: Eukaryotic small subunit ribosomal RNA
Source: RNAcentral